CGUGACGAUCGGGUCCUGUCCGGAGGCAAUCAUCCGAAAAUACGCGUACAGACCCAUCUGGCGCACCGUGUCGGCGUCUUUCCAAUCGAAGCACUUUUGAAAGAUGUCCACUCCGCCUCCGGCCCGUGUGGAGCUCAUGUUAACUCAACCACUUCUGCUGUCGAUACCAGGCCCAGGUUUCGCCCGCUCCGUCUGCGAAGGCGGUCCAAUCCCCGAGCCCGAGUGUCCUCAGUGAAUCGCGGG
This 243-nucleotide ribosomal RNA is filed under the name uncultured eukaryote. RNAcentral describes it as "partial small subunit ribosomal RNA". The record is from RNAcentral.